This 199-nucleotide long non-coding RNA is filed under the name Fukomys damarensis (Damara mole-rat). Its description in RNAcentral is "lncRNA (ENSFDAG00000026175.1)". The record is from RNAcentral. Lineage: Eukaryota; Metazoa; Chordata; Mammalia; Rodentia; Bathyergidae.
AAAAAUCUUAUGCAGAAUCCUAAGUAAUACAGGACACAGAGGGGAAUUGAUCUGGUGCUAUUCAAGAGGAAGUACUUAGAACACUGUCCACAUCUUAUGUACUGAGGUACGGUAGAAGAAAUAAAGAAGUGACAUACCUCAUUUCUUGAACACCUGCACUCAACUCUUGGAUGUGUACUUCUAAAAUUCUGCCUAAUAG